GCUGGUGUACGCUGAGGUUAAGGGGCUGAAGGCGGGGAAGGGGGCACUCGAGUGUGCGGUGUGCCUCAGCGAGUUCGAGGACGACGAGGAGCUCCGCCUCCUCCCUCGCUGCAGCCACGUCUUCCACUCCGACUGCAUUGACGCCUGGCUCGCCUCCCACGUCACUUGCCCCGUCUGCCGCGCCAACCUCGCCGAGCAAGCCGCCGACGACAACCCCGACCUGCUACCUGUAGCCACCCCUUCUACAGACGCGGCGGGUCUAC
RNAcentral lists this long non-coding RNA (263 nucleotides) under Musa acuminata (dwarf banana). Its description in RNAcentral is "long non-coding RNA (MACU_LNC006206)". Lineage: Eukaryota; Viridiplantae; Streptophyta; Magnoliopsida; Zingiberales; Musaceae. The record is from RNAcentral.